RNAcentral lists this long non-coding RNA (8594 nucleotides) under Triticum aestivum (bread wheat). Its description in RNAcentral is "long non-coding RNA (TAES_LNC016371)". Lineage: Eukaryota; Viridiplantae; Streptophyta; Magnoliopsida; Poales; Poaceae. The record is from RNAcentral.
GUUCUUCUUCCUUGCGGGAUUUCAGGCAAGAUGACCGCUACCCUGGAUCUCACUACUAUCAUUGCUAUGCUAGUUGCUUCGUUCUAUCGCUAUGCUGCGCUACCUAUUACCUGUUUGUCCAGCCAUCCCAUAUUGCCAUGAACCCCUAACCUUUGACACCUUUCCUAUGCAAACCGUUGUUUGGCUAUGUUACCGCUUUUGCUCAGCCCCUCUUAUAGCGUUGCUAGCUGCAGGUGAAGUUGAAGAUUUUCUCCAUGGUGGACAGGAUUUUGGUUGGGAUAUCACAAUAUCUCUUAUAUUAUUAAUGCAUCUAUAUACUUGAUAAAGGGUGGAAGGCUCGGCCUUAUGCCUGGUGUUUUGUUCCACUCUUGCCGCCCUAGUUUCCGUCAUACCGGUGUUAUGUUCCCGGAUUUUGCGUCCCUUACGCGGUCGGGUGAUUUAUGGGACCCCCUUGACAGUUCGCUUUGAAUAAAACUUGUCCAGCAAGGCCCAACAUUGACUUUUACCAUUUGCCUCACCACCACCUACCUUUUCCCUUGGGAGUCGCUCUCUCGAGGGUCAUCUUUAUUUUAGCCCCCCCGGGCCAGUGCUUGUCUAAGUGUUGGUCCGAACCGGGCAGGGGGCAACUCGAGGGCUGGUUUUACUCGUAGGCUGACCUAUCCGGUGUUGCCCUGAGAACGAGAUAUGUGCAGCUCCUAUCGGGAUUGUCGGCGCAUCGGGCGGCUUUGCUGGUCUUGUUUUAACAUUGUCGAAAUGUCUUGAUGUACCGGGAUACCGAGUCUGAUCGGAGUGGCUCGGGUGAAGGUCUAUUCCUUCGAUGAUCGCGAGAGCUUGUCAUGGGCUAAGUUGGGACACCCCUGCAGGGUUUAAACUUUCGAGAGCCGUGCCCGCGGUUAUGUGGCAGAUGGGAAUUUGUUAAUGUCCGGUUGUAGAUAACUUGACACUUGAUCCGAAACUAAAACGCAUCAACCGCAUGUGUAGCCGUGAUGGUCUCUUCUCGGCGGAGUCCGGGAAGUGAACACGGUUUCUGUGUUAUGUCUGACGUAAGUAGGUGUUCAGGAUCACCUCUUGAUCAUUGCUAGCUUCACGACCAUUCCGCUUGUUUCUCUUCUCGCUCUUAUUUGCGUUGGUUAGCCACCAUACAUUGCUUAGUCGCUGCUGCAACCUCACCACCUUACCCCUUCCUUUCCCAUUAAGCUUUGCUAGUCUUGAUACCCAUGGUAAUGGGAUUGCUGAGUCCUCGUGGCUCACCAGAUACUUCCAAAACCAGUUUGCAGGUGCCUAUGUUACCGGGCAGGUGACGCAACCAAGCUCAAGGAGGAGCUCGAUGAAGAUCUUGCCCUUUGUGUUGUAUCGUUCUAGUUGUUCAGUAGUGGAGCCCAGUUGGGGUCGAUCGGGGACCUUUGUCGCUUUUGGGGUUCUUCUUUUAUUUUGGUUCCGUAGUCGGACCUUGAUCGUAUCUGGAUGAUGUAAUGCUUUAUUCAUGUAAUUGUGUGAAGUGGCGAUUGUAAGCCAACUAUGUAUCUCUUUCCCUUAAGUAUUACUUGGGUUGUGUGAUGAUUACCUCACUUGCGACUUUGCUUUCAAUGCGGUUAUGCCUCUAAGUCGUGCUUCGACACGUGGGAGAUAUAGCCGCAUCGAGGGCGUUACAAGUUGGUAAUUAGAGCCUUCCCCGACCUUAGGAGCCCCACUGCUUGAUCGUUUUUAGCGGCCGAGUUGUGUCUAGAAAAAUGUUUUGAGUCAUUUAGGAUUUUAUAUAUCGGAGAGUUAGGAAUUCUUUUUACUCCUCAGUCCCUUCAUCGCUCUGGUGAGGUCUCCUGACGUAGAGUUUUGACUCUUCUCUUCUCAAAUUUCACUAAUUUUUUUUAGGAUCACGCGGGUAUCUUAGAAUCGUUCCGAUGGUUUUAUGAUGACAACAUUGUCUUGGUGCCUCCCGUCAGCAGGGGUUUUUUUUAGUGGAGGUGUCCCGGGGAGUUGAGCUCUGAGGUGUUGUCGUCAUAAUUUUAUCGUUGCAGUUCUGGAAUACCUGAGUUUAGUACGCCGACAUCGAAAAUCUCUUUUAUGCAGUUGUUGGUGAGAUAACCCCGAUAACCCAGUACUGAGGUGAGUACGGGAGUAUUGCCAUGACUCGUAUAACGGAUUCUUUUCGAAGGUUGAGGUACACGAUUUCCGAAGGUUUCUUGGUUAUGUGUUGACGGAUGGAUACAGCUGGAUGUAGGUAUUGUUAGUUUGGGUGAGAUAUAUUGCUUCCCCUGUAUCCCCAACACCAGAUUGCAUAACCAGAAAGUUUCGGGAGUUUUAUAGGUGGGAAUUCAAGUAGCUCCUAGAAUAUCUUUUCGACAGAUGCAUGAUAUGGGAUUGGGUAAAUCUCUAUCAUAUGUUUGUUCCGGCUUAUUCUGCAAGCCAGUCCUUUGUUUUUGUUUUGAGUUGUGGUAUUCGAGUUGCUUCGAAGUCAAAUGUUGAAUCCAUACCUUUCCUAGCGGUGUUCUCAUAUUUCUAUGGGAGUACUAAUCCUUUUGAUCAUCGAGAUUGUCAUGUUAAUUCUUUUCCAACCGGUGUGCUUCUCUUCAAGUGGAUCCGAUCAUUCUCCCCAUCCGCAAGAUCAAUUCUAAGUUUUCUCAACGGUGUUUGUUUCAUCCGUCCCAAGUUGCCUUUGUUUUUCCCGCCCUCCCACCCUCUUUCUUCAAGGACACAGAUUUCUUAAUCAAGUAUCCAUUUAUUCAUGUGAAGUCUCUUCAUUCUUUUCAAUCAAUGUUCUUAUCCGAUGAUUUCCCAUGAAGACGCUCACGAGCUUCUAGUUCAUCAUCCUUCAUUGUUGUUUCUUUUCCGGUGGAUCCAUAUCAAGCUUUUGAUAUUCAUCAUAUCCCUUUCCUUGUUUCAAAUGCUUUUUAAUACCGAUGCAACUCUUAAUCAUUCACUUCUUCCUAUUCAUUUGUUCUGGAGUGCUCAAGAUAUCUCACAAGAUUCGUGUUUUCCAUUCUUAAUCCGUUCAAGCUAUUUGGAGAUUAUUAUCCCAUUCAAGUCAUUUAAUUCAACCGGUGCAAUCCCCUCUUUCAAUCAAUUGUUCAACGGUGUUCUUUUGAGUGGGCCCUAACCCACAUGUCUUUUCCCAGGAUCUUACCUGACUCUUCUAUUUUCCCAGAGCUAUCCUAAAUUCUUCUCCAAGUUUGACGUAAGAAUGAGUUAUCAUCAGUCAAAUGCUUUUCUCCAAGAUCUUUCAAAUUCUUUUCAUUGUUGGCUCAACCUUUUCGGUUUUCAUUCUGCCGGAGUAUCUAAGUAAUUUUGGUGUUGUUUCUCGUCAUCAUUUGAAGAUCGAAGAAGAGUUCCUCUUAAAUCCUUACCCGUUCUUCCAAAGAGGUGUAGUUUAAGCUUGAUGCCAUCCUCCCAUAAUUGUUUUCGAUUGUGAGAAUUCUUUUUACCCAUCCGGAGCAUUUCAUGAGUUGUUUCCAUUUCUUUCCUCGAAGGCCAUCAUGCCAUAAUUCUUCAUUCUCAGAUUUGAGCUUUCAUUCUCCAAAUCAUACCGGUGCAUCAUUCAAGUAUUCUCUAAUCAGUUCAUGAUCUCUUCAUUCUCAUGUAUCUAAAUCCCCUCAAGUAUCUUCAUUCGUUUUCCAAUUCUUCCUGGUGAAUUGUGCCUUUGCUACGUUCAAUUUCAAUUCUUACGGUGGUUCGUUCAAGAUUUCACUUCCUUCGUUAUCAUAUCAAUUCAUUUGUUGUUCCAAUCCUACCGGUGGUUCGUCAAGGAUUCUUUUCAUUCUUCAAUUGUUCUUCAAGAUUUCUCUUGAAGUUAUGAUCCGCCAAGCUAUACUCAAAAUUAAACAUGGUGCUCAGCUCAUGUUUUGUUUUGAGGAGUUCAAGUAUUCUUCUUCUUGCAUUCCAAAGUGCAAUUCUUUCUACCUUAUCUUUUGAGGUGGUGUUAUGUCACUCUUGACAAUUUCCUUCAUGUUUCAUGAUUCAUAUGUUGUCAAGAAUGAGGUAUAUUAAAUCCAUCAAUCUCUUCCUUGGAGUUAUCUUGGUAUAGAUUUCACCUAAAGCCUUCCCUAAGGAAUGUUGCUAUUAUGGUGUUUAUCAAUGAUCCAAGUUUUCUCCUAUCCUCUCGGCGAAAGCAGUUUUUCAUAUCUUUGGUGCUCUAAAUCAAAUCAAUGGUUUCCGUUAGUGGCCGGUUGUCACCUCAUAGUUUUGAGAUGUUUUCCAUAAGCCACUACAAGCUUGUUCUUUUCGUUGUUGGUUUUCCAACAACUCCAUUCUAAACUUCUAGGAAGGGUGCUUUCCGAGCCCAUUUGUGGCAGAAGUUGGCAUUUUCUUCUCCGUUCUUUUAUUCCAAUGGUCUAUCUUCUAUUCUUUCUUCCGAAGGCAAUGUGAUGUUGCUCUUUUCACUCAUCAUCUCGAAUUGUGAGGAUCAUGAUCUUUUCUUGCUUAUCCAUUUAACCGGAGUGUCAUGUACUCUUUUCAAGUUCUUUCAUCUUAUCAAGUUUUGCCCCCUUCUCAACCGGAGUGCUGUCUGAAAUCUUUCUUACCCCUUGUGCCAUUCUUUCAAUAGUUCCAGAGGCAGUGUAUUGUUGAUUUCAUCAAGUAUCUUCUCAUCUUGUCAAGUUCAUGUUCAAUUCCUUCCAUUUACAAUCGGAGUGCUGCCCGAAUUCUUCCCCUCUCAUCUUGUUUUAACCGGAGUGGUUUCGAAUUCUAUCUUGUCCAUUAAACUAUUGAUUCAUGUCUUUGCAACCUUCAAGUUCUCGUAAUACUCCUUGUUCAUCUUUUCUAACGGAUUGUUUGCAAUCUUUGUCAUCUCCGUUAUUUUGUUUCUUUCAAUGUGUUCAACCUCUCAAGGUUCUUUGGUUUCACUAUUUUGUCGAAGAAGCAACUUAGUUUACCUCUUAUCUUCCUCUUUCGUUUUCCCUCCGGUGCCAUCCUAGAUCUCGGGACGAGAUCCUCUCGUAGUGGUGGAGUGUUGUAACGCCCCGGACCUGAUGCGCCAGGUGUCCGCCAGUUAUUCGCCGUCGUUGCCAUGUCAUUUGCUUGCGUGUUGCAUUUUGCCAUGUCAUCAUCUGCAUUUCAUAUCAUGUCAUCAUGUGCAUUUCAUUUUGCAUACAUGUUCGUCUCAUGCAUCCGAGCAUUUUCCCCGUUGUCCGUUUUGCAAUCCGGCGCUCCUAUGUCAUCCGGCGUCCCCUUCUUCUCUCCUGUUGUGAGCGGGUAUUAAACUUUCUCAUAAUGGCCCGAGGUUUGCCAAGCGGCCUUGGUAUAGCACCGGUAGACCGCCUGUCAAGUUUCGUGCCAUUUGGAGGUCGUUUGGUACUCCAACGGUUAACUGGGUAACCGCAAAGCCUCUUUUGUUUGCAGCCCAACACCCCUUCCAAAGUGGCCCAAAACCCACCAAACUCUCCUCCAUGCUCUCGGUCGUUCGAUCACGAUCGCGUGGCCGAAAACCGCACCUCAUUUGGACUCUCCUAGCUCCCUCUACCUAUAUAUUAGCCUCCCCCUCCGAAAUUUUACAUUCUGGACCCAUGUUCAUCGCAUCACAUCUUCGCACCCGUAGCUCCGUUUUGCGCGUGUAAUAUGUCAAAUUGUUCGCCUCGACGAGUACUUCAUUUCAUUCCAUUGCAUCAUUUUCAUUUGAGCUCAUCUUGAUGCCCGAAAUGCUGUUGGAAAAGUGCAUGUUGAUGUUAAUCUGCUGAAACUGUUAUAACUUGCUGUUUUAUCAUUUUUGCCAUGAUUUAUGUGUGCAUCCUAUGAGUAUGAGCUCCACAUGAAUGUUGGACUAUGACAUUCCAUCUUUCCAGAGGUGUUUACCUUGUAUUUUUGUGAUUUGUGUGCUGAGUGCAUUGAGCUUGUAAAGUAGGGUAGUUGUUGUUGCUGUUUUCCUGACAGAUUCUGUUAUAUUUUGUUGCUAUGUUAACAUGCUUCCACUAAUCAUUCUAUGCAUAAUAUGGAGAUGCUCUAUAAACAUGUUUUGAUAUACAUGUCUUGCUAUAUCCAUUCAUGCCCUUGGUUGAAAUUAUGGCCUGCUGGAACAUGUUCAUUUCUUGCUCCAAAGUUGCUUGAAAAUGUUGUUUGUCAGCCUGUUAACAUUAAGUUCACUUGUUCCCAUGUGUUUUCCUAGUGAUCCAUGUAUCCUAUGAACUUGAUCCUGCCAUGCUUAGCUUCACAAACAUGCCUUCUUACUGUUGGUUGCCUUUCCAUGCCAUGUAUUUCUCUGUGGUGAGUGGUUCAAGCUCACGAACAUGCCUACUUAUUAUUGUUUCUGCCAUGUUUAAAUCUGUAAUAUAACUUGCCAUGUUUACAUGGGUGCCAUCAUAUUUUCCGUGCCUUUUUGGCUCAUGGUCAGUAAGGGUCUUUUGAUAUAUGCUAUUAGUAGAUUCAUGCCAUGCCUUUGUUUGCCAUGAUAUGUUCCUGUAACAUGUUGUUUGAUAGCUCUAAACAUUGCAACCUGAUGUUAUUUCUGCAAAGUCUGAAACUGUUAUUAUUUGCAAUAUCUCCAUGUCCUUUUUGAGCAUGUUCUAGUUGUUUCUCGAGAUAGCUUAGUGUUCAUGUUUUGUUAUGCUUUACGUGUACUUAAUGCCCAUGCCUUUUGUUAUUAUGUUGGGGUGCUGUAGCAUGUUGUUUUGAUGCUUGUAAGAUGCCUAGUUGCUGUUUUGGACAGAUUGUUGUUAUGACUUGUAUAGUGUGCAUGUGUUGAACCGUUGCUCCGUUUUGAGUGUGCUCUAUAUGAAACUUGCUUGUUUUUGCAUGUAGCUUCAUAUUACCAUGUUGCAUCCUUGUUUUGGUGUGUUUGCUUGAUGUUUGGGUGCAUUUUGCAUCAAUGCCAUGCUUAACUUGUUUUGCUCAUAUCUUUUAGACCGUAGCUCCAAAUCUAAUAAACUUUAUAUGUAACUUGACUAGAAUUUCGUGUAGAUUCUCUUGGUGCUCUUUAACUUACUGUUUAACAACUUGAACAUAAGGUUUAUUCAGUUCUGGACCAAUUUCGAAAUAUGCAUAUGAGGACUUACCGGAAUUGUCAUAUGUUGUUCCCGGCCUCAUUUAAACUUGCCUUGAUGUGUUCUUGUAUGCAUCAUCUCUUACCAUGAGUAGCUUCAUGUAGCUUUGUUAUGCAUCAUGCUUGUUGUGCAUCAUGCCUUGUUCAUGUGUGGUGUGUUUACCUACGUUGUGUGCUUCUUCUUGUUAGUUCCUGUUUCGUUGCGAUCGUGAGGAUUAGUUCGUCUACGGUUGGUUCGGCUCCAUCCGUUCAUCUUCUUCAUGGACUCGUUCUUCUUCCUUGCGGGAUUUCAGGCAAGAUGACCACUACCCUGUAUCUCACUACUAUCAUUGCUAUGCUAGUUGCUUCGUUCUAUCGCUAUGCUGCGCUACCUAUUACCUGUUUGUCCAGCCAUCCCAUAUUGCCAUGAACCCCUAACCUUUGACACCUUUCCUAUGCAAACAGUUGUUUGGCUAUGUUACCGCUUUUGCUCAGCCCCUCUUAUAGCGUUGCUAGCUGCAGGUGAAGUUGAAGAUUUUCUCCAUGGUGGACAGGAUUUUGGUUGGGAUAUCACAAUAUCUCUUAUAUUAUUAAUGCAUCUAUAUACUUGGUAAAGGGUGGAAGGCUCGGCCUUAUGCCUGGUGUUUUGUUCCACUCUUGCCGCCCUAGUUUCCGUCAUACCGGUGUUAUGUUCCCGGAUUUUGCGUCCCUUACGCGGUCGGGUGAUUUAUGGGACCCCCUUGACAGUUCGCUUUGAAUAAAACUUGUCCAGCAAGGCCCAACAUUGACUUUUACCAUUUGCCUCACCACCACCUACCUUUUCCCUUGGGAGUCGCUCUCUCGAGGGUCAUCUUUAUUUUAGCCCCCCCGGGCCAGUGCUUGUCUAAGUGUUGGUCCGAACCGGGCAGACUGCGGGGCCACCUCGGGGCAACUCAAGGGCUGGUUUUACUCGUAGGCUGACCUAUCCGGUGUUGCCCUGAGAACGAGAUAUGUGCAGCUCCUAUCGGGAUUGUCGGCGCAUCGGGCGGCUUUGCUGGUCUUGUUUUACCAUUGUCGAAAUGUCUUGAUGUACCGGGAUACCGAGUCUGAUCGGAGUGGCUCGGGUGAAGGUCUAUUCCUUCGAUGAUCGCGAGAGCUUGUCAUGGGCUAAGUUGGGACACCCCUGCAGGGUUUAAACUUUCGAGAGCCGUGCCCGCGGUUAUGUGGCAGAUGGGAAUUUGUUAAUGUCCGGUUGUAGAUAACUUGACACUUGAUCCAAAACUAAAACGCAUCAACCGUGUGUGUAGCCGUGAUGGUCUCUUCUCGGCGGAGUCCGGGAAGUGAACACGGUUUCUGUGUUAUGUCUGACGUAAGUAGGUGUUCAGGAUCACCUCUUGAUCAUUGCUAGCUUCACGACCGUUCCGCUUGUUUCUCUUCUCGCUCUUAUUUGCGUUGGUUAGCCACCAUACAUUGCUUAGUCGCUGAUGCAACCUCACCACCUUACCCCUUCCUUUCCCAUUAAGCUUUGCUAGUCUUGAUACCCAUGGUAAUGGGAUUGCUGAGUCCUCGUGGCUCACCAGAUACUUCCAAAACCAGUUUGCAGGUGCCUAUGUUACCGGGCAGGUGACGCAACCAAGCUCAAGGAGGAGCUCGAUGAAGAUCUUGCCCUUUG